UUGAACGCUGGCGGCAUGCCUUACACAUGCAAGUCGAACGGUAACAGGUCUUCGGAUGCUGACGAGUGGCGAACGGGUGAGUAAUACAUCGGAACGUGCCUAGUAGUGGGGGAUAACUACUCGAAAGAGUAGCUAAUACCGCAUGAGAUCUACGGAUGAAAGCAGGGGACCUUCGGGCCUUGUGCUACUAGAGCGGCCGAUGGCAGAUUAGGUAGUUGGUGGGAUAAAAGCUUACCAAGCCGACGAUCUGUAGCUGGUCUGAGAGGACGACCAGCCACGCUGGGACUGAGACACGGCCCAGACUCCUACGGGAGGCAGCAGUGGGGAAUUUUGGACAAUGGGCGAAAGCCUGAUCCAGCAAUGCCGUGUGCAGGAUGAAGGCCUUCGGGUUGUAAACUGCUUUUGUACGGAACGAAAAAGCUCCUUCUAAUACAGGGGGCCCAUGACGGUACCGUAAGAAUAAGCACCGGCUAACUACGUGCCAGCAGCCGCAGUAA
RNAcentral lists this ribosomal RNA (497 nucleotides) under uncultured bacterium. RNAcentral describes it as "partial 16S ribosomal RNA". It matches the Rfam family "Bacterial small subunit ribosomal RNA", at positions 30 to 523 of the family's 1533-position model. The record is from RNAcentral.